CCGCAGACAUCAUUUCUACUACAGUGGAGGAGCCGUACAGGACCUGUUUCACUGCAGGGGGAUCCAAAACAAGCCCUGUGGAGCCGCAGCUAGAGCUACAGCAGCCGCAGGACACUGUGUCUCUCCCUCUGUCCCCCCUUCCCCACGCAACCCCAGAUCCAUUUACACUUUACAAAGCAUCCUGCACUGUGCAACAAGUCACGAGGGCGGUCCUUUCAAGCUGCAAAUCUGUCUGUCAUCCCUAUCCAACAGUCUCUUCCUCCACUCCCUCCGCAGGGAAGGGCGUCACAUGUCAGAUUGCAGCGUCCUGGAACAGAAUCAAAGGAUCUGUGUUCAAACGGCAAAAGUAAGGUUGCAGUAGACCCUGAGCAAAACAGAGUGGACUCCAGCCUGCACGAAUGAGCUUGAAACAGGAAUGGUUUGUGGUUCAGGCCUCUUACACUGAGUUUCUCUACUGCCACCCUUUCUACUCAAGCAAAAUCUUCAAGAGAGCCUCUCCCGGGAAGGAAGCAGCUGCUUGUGGCUUUGCACUG
Molecule: long non-coding RNA, 533 nt
Organism: Grammomys surdaster
Lineage: Eukaryota; Metazoa; Chordata; Mammalia; Rodentia; Muridae
Exons: 4
Source: RefSeq, a predicted model, not a curated record